UACGAAGGGGGCUAGCGUUGUUCGGAUUUACUGGGCGUAAAGCGCACGUAGGCGGAUCGUUAAGUCGGGGGUGAAAUCCUGGAGCUCAACUCCAGAACUGCCUUCGAUACUGGCGAUCUUGAGUCCGGAAGAGGUGAGUGGAACUCCUAGUGUAGAGGUGGAAUUCGUAGAUAUUAGGAAGAACACCAGUGGCGAAGGCGGACUCACUGGUCCGGUACUGACGCUGAGG
RNAcentral lists this ribosomal RNA (229 nucleotides) under uncultured bacterium. RNAcentral describes it as "partial 16S ribosomal RNA". It matches the Rfam family "Bacterial small subunit ribosomal RNA", at positions 524 to 751 of the family's 1533-position model. The record is from RNAcentral.